GCGGCCAUGGCGGAAUUGGUAGACGCGCAGCGUUGAGGUCGCUGUGGGAGUUAAAUCCCGUGGAAGUUCGAGUCUUCUUGGCCGCACCA
This 89-nucleotide transfer RNA is filed under the name Rhodospirillaceae bacterium. RNAcentral's name for it is "tRNA-Leu". It matches the Rfam family "tRNA". From Rfam's summary of the family: Transfer RNA (tRNA) molecules are approximately 80 nucleotides in length. The record is from RNAcentral. Lineage: Bacteria; Pseudomonadati; Pseudomonadota; Alphaproteobacteria; Rhodospirillales; Rhodospirillaceae. RNAcentral also lists the same sequence under 1 other name.